ACUCCUACGGGAGGCAGCAGUGGGGAAUAUUGCACAAUGGGGGAAACCCUGAUGCAGCCAUGCCGCGUGUGUGAAGAAGGCCUUCGGGUUGUAAAGCACUUUCAGUAGGGAGGAAGGUAGUGUAGUUAACACCUGCAUUAUUUGUACGUUACCUACAGAAGAAGCACCGGCUAACUCCGUGCCAGCAGCCGCGGUAAGUACGGAGGGUGCGAGCGUUAAUCGGAAUUACGUGGGCGUAAAGCGCAUGCAGGCGGCCUGUUAAGUCAGAUGUGAAAGCCCGGGGCUUAACCGUCGGAAUUGCAUUUGAAACUGGCAGGCUAGAGUCUUGUAGAGGGGUUAGAAUUUCGAGGUGUAGCGGUGAAAUGCGUAGAGAUCGUGAAGGAAUACCGAGUGGCGAAGGCGG
Molecule: ribosomal RNA, 403 nt
Filed under: uncultured bacterium
Lineage: Bacteria
Description: bacterial SSU rRNA
Rfam family: Bacterial small subunit ribosomal RNA
Source: RNAcentral